This 467-nucleotide ribosomal RNA is filed under the name uncultured bacterium. RNAcentral's name for it is "partial 16S ribosomal RNA". It matches the Rfam family "Bacterial small subunit ribosomal RNA", at positions 28 to 507 of the family's 1533-position model. The record is from RNAcentral.
GACGAACGCUGGCGGCGUGCUUAACACAUGCAAGUCGAACGGAAAGGCUCCAGCUUGCUGGAGUACUCGAGUGGCGAACGGGUGAGUAACACGUGGGUAAUCUGCCCUGCACUCUGGGAUAAGCCUGGGAAACUGGGUCUAAUACUGGAUAUGACCUUUCUCCUUAUGGGGUUUGGUGGAAAGUUUUUCGGUGUAGGAUGAGCCCGCGGCCUAUCAGCUUGUUGGUGGGGUGAUGGCCUACCAAGGCGACGACGGGUAGCCGGCCUGAGAGGGUGAUCGGCCACAUUGGGACUGAGAUACGGCCCAGACUCCUACGGGAGGCAGCAGUGGGGAAUAUUGCACAAUGGGCGGAAGCCUGAUGCAGCGACGCCGCGUGAGGGAUGACGGCAUUCGGGUUGUAAACCUCUUUCAGCAGGGACGAAGCGUAAGUGACGGUACCUGCAGAAGAAGCACCGGCUAACUAUGUG